This 1960-nucleotide ribosomal RNA is filed under the name human gut metagenome. RNAcentral describes it as "bacterial LSU rRNA". It matches the Rfam family "Bacterial large subunit ribosomal RNA", at positions 1 to 1983 of the family's 2925-position model. The record is from RNAcentral.
GAAAGUAAGCAAGGGCAGACGGUGGAUGCCUUGGCUCUCGGAGGCGACGAAGGACGUGAUAAGCUGCGAAAAGCCCGGGGGAGGCGCAAAUAGCCCUUGAUCCCGGGAUAUCCGAAUGGGGCAACCCGGCAGGCUGAAGGCCUGCCAUCCCGAAAGGGAGGCGAACGUGGGGAACUGAAACAUCUAAGUACCCAUAGGAGGAGAAAAUAAACAAUGAUUCCGUAAGUAGUGGCGAGCGAACACGGAAGAGCCCAAACCCAUGUCGUCUAGGCGACACGGGGGUUGUAGGACCACGACGUGGCAAGAUAGAGUCAAGUGGAACGCCUUGGAAAGGGCGACCGUAGAGGGUGAUAGUCCCGUACACGACUGACGAUUGAAGCCUAGUGGUAUCCUGAGUAGCGCGGGGCACGAGAAAUCUUGCGUGAAACAGCGGGGCCCAUCCCGUAAGGCUAAAUACUCCCGAGAGACCGAUAGCGAACCAGUACCGUGAGGGAAAGGUGAAAAGAACCCCGAGCAGGGGAGUGAAAUAGACCCUGAACCCGUCUGCCUACAAGCGGUCGGAGCGUCGUAAUGACGUGACGGCGUGCCUUUUGCAUAAUGAACCUACGAGUUACCUUCCCCGGCAAGGUUAAGUUCUUGAGGAACGGAGCCGAAGCGAAAGCGAGUCUGAACAGGGCGCCAAGUCGGGGGGGGUAGACGCGAAACCGAGUGAUCUACCCUUGGCCAGGUUGAAGGUUGGGUAACACCAACUGGAGGACCGGAUGGGUAAGCGUUGAAAAGCUUUCCAAUGAGCUGAGGGUAGGGGUGAAAGGCUAAUCAAACUCGGAGAUAGCUCGUACUCCCCGAAAUGCAUUUAGGUGCAGCCUCUUUAUAGUAUAUCGUGAGGUAGAGCGACUGAUUGGAUGCGAGGGCUUCACCGCCUAUCAAGUCCAGAUAAACUCCGAAUGCGCGAUAUAUAUUUACAGGGAGUGAGGGCGCGGGUGCUAAGGUCCGUGUCCGAGAGGAGAAGAAUCCAGACCACCGGCUAAGGCCCCCAAAUGAUCGUUAAGUUGAACUAACGAGGUCGGAUCGCAGAGACAGCUAGGAUGUUGGCUUGGAAGCAGCCAUUCAUUUAAAGAGUGCGUAACAGCUCACUAGUCGAGCGAUCUGGCGUGGAUAAUAAUCGGGCAUAAACGAUCUGCCGAAGCCGUGGAUGUCGCAAGACAUGGUAGGGGAGCAUUCCAUGCCGCGUCGAAGAUGAGGGAUGACCCUUGUUGGAGCGCAUGGAAAAGCAAAUGUAGGUAUGAGUAACGAUAAGGGGGGCGAGAAACCCCCCCGCCGAAAGACCAAGGUUUCCUGAUCAACGCUAAUCGGAUCAGGGUGAGUCGGGACCUAAGGCAAAGCCGAACGGCGCCGCCGAUGGAAGAAUGGGUUAAUAUUCCCAUACUGCCUCAUGGAGUGACGUGGAGACGGAGAAGUGACAGUCCUGCCGGCUGACGGAAUAGCCGGUUGAAGGGUGUAGAUAUUGAUUCCCGUAGGCAAAUCCGCGGGGAGAGUCGAACCUGAGAGUAUACGGAGCGCUUGCGCAACGUAAUAUGGACGUAACCAUGCUCCCGAGAAAAUCCGCUAAACUUAUCCAUGCGGCACCCGUACCGUAAACGGACACACGUGGUCGGGUUGAGAAUACUGAGGCGCUCGAGUGAUUCACGGUUAAGGAACUAGGCAAAUUGACCCUGUAACUUCGGGAUAAAGGGUCCUCGUCGUAAGGCGAGGCGCAGAGAAUAGGUCCAGGCAACUGUUUAACAAAAACACAUGGCUGUGCUAAAUGGAAACAUGAUGUAUACAGCCUGACACCUGCCCGGUGCCGGAAGGUUAAGAGGAGAUGUCAUCCGCGAGGAGAAGCGUUGAAUUGAAGCCCCGGUAAACGGCGGCCGUAACUAUAACGGUCCUAAGGUAGCGAAAUUCCUUGUCGGGUAAGUUC